This 467-nucleotide ribosomal RNA is filed under the name uncultured bacterium. Its description in RNAcentral is "partial 16S ribosomal RNA". It matches the Rfam family "Bacterial small subunit ribosomal RNA", at positions 28 to 507 of the family's 1533-position model. The record is from RNAcentral.
GAUGAACGCUGGCGGCGUGCUUAACACAUGCAAGUCGAACGGAAAGGCCCAAGCUUGCUUGGGUACUCGAGUGGCGAACGGGUGAGUAACACGUGGGUGAUCUGCCCUGCACUUCGGGAUAAGCCUGGGAAACUGGGUCUAAUACCGGAUAGGACCACUUCUUGGAUGUUGUGGUGGAAAGUUUUUUCGGUGUGGGAUGAGCUCGCGGCCUAUCAGCUUGUUGGUGGGGUAAUGGCCUACCAAGGCGUCGACGGGUAGCCGGCCUGAGAGGGUGUACGGCCACAUUGGGACUGAGAUACGGCCCAGACUCCUACGGGAGGCAGCAGGGGGGAAUAUUGCACAAUGGGCGCAAGCCUGAUGCAGCGACGCCGCGUGGGGGAUGACGGCCUUCGGGUUGUAAACUCCUUUCGCUAGGGACGAAGCGUUUUGUGACGGUACCUGGAGAAGAAGCACCGGCUAACUACGUG